This 451-nucleotide ribosomal RNA is filed under the name uncultured Fibrobacter sp. RNAcentral's name for it is "partial 16S ribosomal RNA". It matches the Rfam family "Bacterial small subunit ribosomal RNA", at positions 341 to 792 of the family's 1533-position model. Lineage: Bacteria; Pseudomonadati; Fibrobacterota; Fibrobacteria; Fibrobacterales; Fibrobacteraceae. The record is from RNAcentral.
ACGGAAGGCAGCAGUGGGGAAUAUUGGACAAUGGGGGAAACCCUGAUGCAGCAACGCCACGUGUGGGAAGAAGCAUUUCGGUGUGUAAACCACUGUCGUGAAGGAAUAAGGCUUAUUUUCGGAUAAGUUGAAUGUACUUUGAAAGGAAGCACCGGCAAACUUCGUGCCAGCAGCCGCGGUAAUACGAGGGGUGUAAGCGGUGUUCGGAAUCACUGGGCGUAAAGGGAGCGCAGGCGGAGAUGCAAGCAGUCUGUACAAUACCGGGGCCCAACCCCGGACCUGCAGACUGGACUGUUUCGCUUGGAUAGCUCAGGGGCUGGCGGAAUUCCUGGUGUAGCGGUGGAAUGCGUAGAGAUCAGGAAGAACACCGAUGGCGAAGGCAGCCAGCUGGGGGCUUAUCGACGCUCAUGCUCGAAAGUGCGGGUAGCAAACAGGAUUAGAUACCCUGGUA